GCUUAAGUAAUUUAAUUAAAAUUUUGAUUUGUGGUAUCAAAUAUGUAUUUGUAUGCCUUAGGUU
Molecule: transfer RNA, 64 nt
Filed under: Anaplecta omei
Lineage: Eukaryota; Metazoa; Arthropoda; Insecta; Blattodea; Anaplectidae
Description: tRNA-His
Source: RNAcentral